RNAcentral lists this ribosomal RNA (555 nucleotides) under Clostridium perfringens. Its description in RNAcentral is "partial 23S ribosomal RNA". It matches the Rfam family "Bacterial large subunit ribosomal RNA", at positions 639 to 1192 of the family's 2925-position model. Lineage: Bacteria; Bacillati; Bacillota; Clostridia; Eubacteriales; Clostridiaceae. The record is from RNAcentral.
AGCAAGGUUAAGUACUUAAGGUACGGAGCCGAAGGGAAACCGAGUCUGAAUAGGGCGACUAGUUGCAUGCCGUAGACCCGAAACCGGGUGACCUAUCCAUGGCCAGGUUGAAGCGAGGGUAAAACCUCGUGGAGGACCGAACCACGUUGCUGUUGAAAAAGCAUGGGAUGAGCUGUGGAUAGCGGAGAAAUUCCAAUCGAACCCGGAGAUAGCUGGUUCUCUCCGAAAUAGCUUUAGGGCUAGCGUCGAGUAUGAGUAGUGGAGGUAGAGCACUGAAUGGGCUAGGGGGCAUAGCGCUUACCGAACCUUAUCAAACUCCGAAUGCCACAUACUUUGAGCUCGGCAGUCAGACUACGAAUGAUAAGAUCCGUGGUCAAAAGGGAAACAGCCCAGAUCGUCAGCUAAGGUCCCAAAGUGUAAGUUAAGUGGGAAAGGAUGUGAGAUUUCUAAGACAACUAGGAUGUUGGCUUAGAAGCAGCCAUUCAUUAAAAGAGUGCGUAAUAGCUCACUAGUCGAGAGAUCUUGCGCCGAAAAUGUAACGGGGCUAAACUUACC